Long non-coding RNA from Quercus robur (English oak), 1242 nucleotides. RefSeq lists it as uncharacterized. The record is from RefSeq and is a predicted model, not a curated record. The transcript is spliced from 5 exons. Lineage: Eukaryota; Viridiplantae; Streptophyta; Magnoliopsida; Fagales; Fagaceae.
UUAAGAGAACAACCCGACUAUUCUUUUUCUCUCCCGACUCCCCUCCUAAUGCAGGAGAACUCCUCUCUCUUUAAAUCUCUAACCUUCCCCAAAAUCCUCAACCUCACGCACGCAGUCUCUUUUAUUUAAAAAAAAAAAAAAAAAUCCUAAUGCUAAUGCAGAAAGAGACCUAAUGCAGAAGCAUUCCCUCUCUCACUCUAAAUCUCUAACCUCUAUGGGCUAUGGCGUUCCUGCUACAACGUUUUCAAAGAUAUUGAUUGGACUGGCUCAAUAUAUUCAGAUAAUGGUCAGGAUCGAUAGCCCUCAUGGACUGGCUCGAAUCCCCUAAUGCCCACAUCUUCAAGAUCAAUGUCCCAGAGAAUAGUUGAUUGGCUUGCUGAAAACUUUAAGAUAGAUGAAGGAGCGAAUUGAUAAUGCAAUUAUGUAAGCCUCUAUUGAAAAAAUUAGCGAGAAUAGUUGAUUGGCUUGCUGAAAACUUUAAGAUAGAUGAAGGAGCGAGUCGAUAAUGCAAUUAUUUUGGCAUGGAUAAAGAUCACAACAAGGCGUUAGCAGAAGAGUUGCUCCUUUUCAAGAAUGGCUUCAUUAUGGGCACAGCUGAUUCCUUCGAUAUUUGACAUUUUUUUAGUGAAGUUAUUGAAAAUUUUCAAACCUAAACAGUUCACAAAGCAGUUUUUUUAGGCUAUUAUUAGAUCGACCUCAACCUUGGACUCAUGAUUUGAGCUUUUUCACAAAGAUAGUGCUCAGUGAAGGUGUUACACGCUAAGUCGAAACAUAAUGAUUUGAUGGCCCCUGGUGAGUGCAAAAGUUUGAGUUUUUUUAUCACAAAGUCAUUAUCUUUUUCAAUAAUUUUUUUAUUAUUUUAAUGAUUUAAUUUAAAAGAUAUUUCAUUAAACAACUUCAUUUUAAUAAAUUGGGUAUUUUUAGUGUUUUAGAAGGUUCAGAAGUGGUGGAGAAAGUAGAGCAGCCUUAAGUUGCACAUUGUUAUGGUGGAUAUUAGACUAUUGUCCUUAUUAGUUUAUGUAGUUCGAUAUUUGGUUCCUUAUGAUUUGAAGAGUGAAGAAGGUUGUGUAUGGCCUUGCAAAAGAUGGGUAUGUGCAAAGUGAUUUCUUAGCUUAAGGUUUCUGUCGAUGACUUGAUAUGAGAAUAAUUUGUGCUUGACAUAUUGUUCUUUGUAACUUUUGUUGCUUUUACUGUAAGUGAAUGGACAGGUACCUAGGGUCGUAUUUUAAAGUUUUAUUUGAA